UAAAUACUCCUUCCGUCCGGAAAUACUUGUCAAAGGAAUGGAUGUAUCUAGAUGUAUUUCAGUUCUACAUACAUCUGUUUCUAUACAUUCGUGUGACAAGUAAUUCCGGACGGAGUGAGUACUUG
This is a non-coding RNA of Hordeum vulgare subsp. vulgare (domesticated barley), 125 nucleotides long. The record is from Rfam. Lineage: Eukaryota; Viridiplantae; Streptophyta; Magnoliopsida; Poales; Poaceae.